Molecule: ribosomal RNA, 770 nt
Filed under: Microbacterium hydrocarbonoxydans
Lineage: Bacteria; Bacillati; Actinomycetota; Actinomycetes; Micrococcales; Microbacteriaceae
Description: bacterial SSU rRNA
Rfam family: Bacterial small subunit ribosomal RNA
Source: RNAcentral
GCUUGCUCUGUGGGAUCAGUGGCGAACGGGUGAGUAACACGUGAGCAACCUGCCCCUGACUCUGGGAUAAGCGCUGGAAACGGCGUCUAAUACUGGAUACGAACCACGAAGGCAUCUUCAGUGGUUGGAAAGAAUUUCGGUUGGGGAUGGGCUCGCGGCCUAUCAGCUUGUUGGUGAGGUAAUGGCUCACCAAGGCGUCGACGGGUAGCCGGCCUGAGAGGGUGACCGGCCACACUGGGACUGAGACACGGCCCAGACUCCUACGGGAGGCAGCAGUGGGGAAUAUUGCACAAUGGGCGCAAGCCUGAUGCAGCAACGCCGCGUGAGGGAUGACGGCCUUCGGGUUGUAAACCUCUUUUAGCAGGGAAGAAGCGAAAGUGACGGUACCUGCAGAAAAAGCGCCGGCUAACUACGUGCCAGCAGCCGCGGUAAUACGUAGGGCGCAAGCGUUAUCCGGAAUUAUUGGGCGUAAAGAGCUCGUAGGCGGUUUGUCGCGUCUGCUGUGAAAUCCCGAGGCUCAACCUCGGGCCUGCAGUGGGUACGGGCAGACUAGAGUGCGGUAGGGGAGAUUGGAAUUCCUGGUGUAGCGGUGGAAUGCGCAGAUAUCAGGAGGAACACCGAUGGCGAAGGCAGAUCUCUGGGCCGUAACUGACGCUGAGGAGCGAAAGGGUGGGGAGCAAACAGGCUUAGAUACCCUGGUAGUCCACCCCGUAAACGUUGGGAACUAGUUGUGGGGUCCAUUCCACGGAUUCCGUGACGCAGCUAACGCA